Molecule: ribosomal RNA, 973 nt
Filed under: uncultured bacterium
Lineage: Bacteria
Description: bacterial SSU rRNA
Rfam family: Bacterial small subunit ribosomal RNA
Source: RNAcentral
GUCGUACGAGAACCCGGCUUCGGCUGGGGAGUAAAGUGGCGAACGGGUGAGUAACACGUGGGUAACCUAUCCCCGGGCUCGGAAUAACCUCGCGAAAGCGGGGCUAAUACUGGAUAACAUUCCGAAGUCCUUGGAACUCGGAAUCAAAGGUGGCCUAGGCUUGCAAGCUACCACCUGGGGAGGGGCCCGCGUCUGAUUAGCUAGUUGGUAGGGUAACGGCCUACCAAGGCGACGAUCAGUAGCCGGCCUGAGAGGGUGACCGGCCACACUGGAACUGAGACACGGUCCAGACUCCUACGGGAGGCAGCAGUGAGGAAUAUUGCGCAAUGGGCGAAAGCCUGACGCAGCAACGCCGCGUGGGUGAUGAAGGCCUUCGGGUCGUAAAACCCUGUCGAGUGGGAAGAAAGCGGGGGACCUAAUACGUCCAUCCGCCUGACUGUACCACCAGAGGAAGCCCCGGCUAACUCCGUGCCAGCAGCCGCGGUAAUACGGAGGGGGCCAGCGUUGUUCGGAAUUAUUGGGCGUAAAGGGCGCGUAGGCGGCCGCGUAAGUCGGUUGUGAAAUCCCCUGGCUCAACCAGGGAACUGCGACCGAAACUGCACGGCUUGAGGCCGGGAGAGGAGAGUGGAAUUCCCAGUGUAGCGGUGAAAUGCGUAGAUAUUGGGAGGAACACCGGUGGCGAAGGCGGCUCUCUGGACCGGUUCUGACGCUGAGGCGCGAAAGCUAGGGGAGCAAACAGGAUUAGAUACCCUGGUAGUCCUAGCUGUAAACGAUGGGCACUUGGUGUUGCGGGUAUCGACCCCUGCAGUGCCGAAGCUAACGCAUUAAGUGCCCCGCCUGGGGAGUACGGUCGCAAGGCUGAAACUCAAAGGAAUUGACGGGGGGCCCGCACAAGCAGUGGAGCAUGUGGUUCAAUUCGACGCAACGCGAAGAACCUUACCUGGGGUUUGAACUGCAGGCGACCGCCCCAGAA